Molecule: ribosomal RNA, 899 nt
Filed under: Craterolophus convolvulus
Lineage: Eukaryota; Metazoa; Cnidaria; Staurozoa; Stauromedusae; Craterolophidae
Description: small subunit ribosomal RNA
Rfam family: Bacterial small subunit ribosomal RNA
Source: RNAcentral
GGGACUUUCAAAGCUUAUUUAUUUUUUAAUACAUGCUAGUUAAAAGCUAACAGGUGAGGAAAAAGAGCCCUAAGGGGUUUCCAACAUAUUAGGCAUUUCAGGGAGUAGAACCCCUAAAGCCCAAUAUAUGGAGUCGAAGUGCCACCCCUUUUCUGAAACAAAAAAGGAUGUUUUCAGCAGUAGAGAAUAUUGUGCUAUGGGCGUUAGCCUGACACAGAAAGUAAAUAUAAGGCCUGUCCUAUUAUGUGCCAGCAGACGCGGUUACACCUAAGGGUCAAGUUUUGAAAUUACAUUAGGCAUUAAAUGUUCCAAUCAAGCCUUAAUUAUAGGGUUUAAGAAUUAGUUAAUAGCGAUAAAAUGCGUUAGUUUUAAAGAACACUCACAGUGAAAACAUAAACCUUUUGAGAGUAGAACUAAAGCGAAGGUCGCCAACAGGAUUAGAAACCCUGGUAGUCUUUGCCUUCAACAAAGAUGGUUAUUUGCCUGAACAGUAUAACCGCAAGGUAGAAAUUCAAAGAACCUGGCUGUUCNCCCUUCCACUUAGAGGAGNGUGUCUUUUAAUACGAUACUCCACGAGAAACCUUACUUCACCUAAAUAACGGUAUUGCAUGGCUGUCGUCAGUUUACAUUUAAAAUGUUGAUCUCCUCUCCUUUUAGAUAGAUGUCAGGUAGUAUGAUCCUAAUGGUGAAGGACAGAUGCGCUACAUUUCAGGAAUAAUUAAGUUACCUGAACGGAAUUAUAGUGAAAUCAAAAUCCAAGUCGAAUUUAANAGUAACCAAAAACAAGCAUGUUUUGGUGAACUGGUCAAGGUGUGAGUACAAAUUGCCCGUCNCCUUCACCCCUUUAGGAGGUGAAGCAAGUCGUAACAUAGUGAGCGUAAAGGAAUUUUCGCUCGAUC